GACGAACGCUGGCGGCGUGCCUAAUACAUGCAAGUAGAACGCACAGUUUAUACCGUAGCUUGCUACACCAUAGACUGUGAGUUGCGAACGGGUGAGUAACGCGUAGGUAACCUGCCUGGUAGCGGGGGAUAACUAUUGGAAACGAUAGCUAAUACCGCAUAAUAUUGAUUAUUGCAUGAUAAUUGAUUGAAAGAUGCUAUUGCAUCACUACCAGAUGGACCUGCGUUGUAUUAGCUAGUAGGUGAGGUAACGGCUCACCUAGGCGACGAUACAUAGCCGACCUGAGAGGGUGAUCGGCCACACUGGGACUGAGACACGGCCCAGACUCCUUCGGGAGGCAGCAGUAGGGAAUCUUCGGCAAUGGACGAAAGUCUGACCGAGCAACGCCGCGUGAGUGAAGAAGGUUUUCGGAUCGUAAAGCUCUGUUGUAAGAGAAGAACGGGUGUGAGAGUGGAAAGUUCACACUGUGACGGUAUCUUACCAGAAAGGGACGGCUAACUACGUG
This 505-nucleotide ribosomal RNA is filed under the name uncultured bacterium. Its description in RNAcentral is "partial 16S ribosomal RNA". It matches the Rfam family "Bacterial small subunit ribosomal RNA", at positions 28 to 507 of the family's 1533-position model. The record is from RNAcentral.